GGGGGUAUGGCUCAUUGGUAGAGCACUUGCCUAGAAUGUAUGAGGCCCUGGGUUUGAUCCUCAGCACCACAU
This 72-nucleotide transfer RNA is filed under the name Ictidomys tridecemlineatus (thirteen-lined ground squirrel). Its description in RNAcentral is "Spermophilus tridecemlineatus (thirteen-lined ground squirrel) tRNA". It matches the Rfam family "tRNA". Rfam says of the family: Transfer RNA (tRNA) molecules are approximately 80 nucleotides in length. Their secondary structure includes four short double-helical elements and three loops (D, anti-codon, and T loops). The record is from Rfam by way of RNAcentral. Lineage: Eukaryota; Metazoa; Chordata; Mammalia; Rodentia; Sciuridae.